This is a long non-coding RNA of Leopardus geoffroyi (Geoffroy's cat), 1079 nucleotides long. RefSeq lists it as uncharacterized. The record is from RefSeq and is a predicted model, not a curated record. NCBI's taxonomy places the organism in Eukaryota, Metazoa, Chordata, Mammalia, Carnivora, Felidae. The transcript has 3 exons.
GCGAGUAGGUGGCAUGGUGGGGCCUCAAGGCCUGGCCUCCAAAGUUCUCCCCCUACAAUGAAAUGUUACCUCUCAGCGUCGGGCACAUGAAGGGAACCAGACACAAAAGGCUCAUGGUGUUAUGAUUCCAUCCGAACGAAAUGUUCAGAAGAGGCAAGUCUGGAGACGGGAGGGUUAGUGGCUCCCGGAGCUGGGGGGAGGCGGUGCUGGGGGGUUUCACGCUGGGGUGAUGAGCGUGUUCUGGAACUAGAGAACAGUGACCACACAGCUCUGGGGGUAAGCGGAACCCACUGGAAUGGGUGAGCUGUCUGGCUUGUGAGUCAUAUCUCGAUAAAGCUGCUACGGAGAACAUCUCAUGAUGAGAAAACGUAGGCUCAGAAAGGAUCGGUGAGAUGCUCCAGACCACACAACAAAUAGGAGCCCCGGCCGGAACCGGGACUGGAAUCCAACCCAGGUCUGCCUCAUCCCAAGCCUUGGCUCCUAAAUGCUGCUCUUUCGGGGUAUAGCCCCUCUACGGUUGUAUUUGUGUGAAGACACGUCAUUGGAUACAGAGUGAAGGAUAAGAGCUGGCAGAUGGUCGAGGGAUACACAAUCACAAGAGCUUGGACACCGCUGUUCUGCAGGACAGAAGCCCUAAAGUGGGCUGAGCGGAAAUAAUGGCCUUCUCGCUGCCUCUUGAUUGCAGUGCCCUCACAAAACUAAGGUUUUCGGGAACCGUGACGUGAAAAACGUCUGCAAAAACUGCUGCAAAAAAACUCCUCGACCGUUUAAGUUGUAUGGAAAAGACACAUGUUUACACACUUCAUCCAUUUCUCAUUGUUUGUGAAUUGCUCCCUCCUUACAAUGUAACAGCUCUCUGGGUCUUUCACAGGACAAUGUUCUUUAUCACAGUGUCAAAACAACCCACUGGGCGGCUGCCCUCCUGCAGACUGAUGGCUCCUCAGGCCACGGGAGGACCCCUAAGUGACCAUUAGGUGUCCAGAGCUAAAUGACCAUUAGGUGCCCAUCACACACCCGCUGAUAGAUGAGUGCUACACAUUUGCGAAGCACAGCCUCUUUUUUAUUCCUCUCACCGUCUG